GCGCCCGUGGCGAAACUGGCAGACGCGCAGGAUUUAGGUUCCUGUACCUGAGGGUGUGGGGGUUCGAGUCCCCCCGGGCGCA
RNAcentral lists this transfer RNA (82 nucleotides) under Corynebacterium sp. RNAcentral describes it as "tRNA-Leu". It matches the Rfam family "tRNA". From Rfam's summary of the family: Transfer RNA (tRNA) molecules are approximately 80 nucleotides in length. Their secondary structure includes four short double-helical elements and three loops (D, anti-codon, and T loops). Further hydrogen bonds mediate the characteristic L-shaped molecular structure. tRNAs have two regions of fundamental functional importance: the anti-codon, which is responsible for specific mRNA codon recognition, and the 3' end, to which the tRNAs corresponding amino acid is attached (by aminoacyl-tRNA synthetases). tRNAs cope with the degeneracy of the genetic code in two manners: having more than one tRNA (with a specific anti-codon) for a particular amino acid; and 'wobble' base-pairing, i.e. permitting non-standard base-pairing at the 3rd anti-codon position. Lineage: Bacteria; Bacillati; Actinomycetota; Actinomycetes; Mycobacteriales; Corynebacteriaceae. The record is from RNAcentral.